AAUGGGCGAAAGCCUGACCCAGCAACGCCGCGUGAAGGAAGAAGGCCUUCGGGUUGUAAACUUCUUUUAUGAGGGACGAAGGAAGUGACGGUACCUCAUGAAUAAGCCACGGCUAACUACGUGCCAGCAGCCGCGGUAAUACGUAGGUGGCAAGCGUUAUCCGGAUUUACUGGGUGUAAAGGGCGCGUAGGCGGGAAGGCAAGUCAGAUGUGAAAUCCAGGGGCUCAACCCCUGAACUGCAUUUGAAACUGCUUUUCUUGAGUGUCGGAGAGGUAGAUGGAAUUCCUAGUGUAGCGGUGAAAUGCGUAGAUAUUAGGAGGAACACCAGUGGCGAAGGCGAUCUACUGGACGAUAACUGACGCUGAGGCGCGAAAGCGUGGGGAGCAAA
This 388-nucleotide ribosomal RNA is filed under the name uncultured bacterium. RNAcentral describes it as "bacterial SSU rRNA". It matches the Rfam family "Bacterial small subunit ribosomal RNA", at positions 370 to 772 of the family's 1533-position model. The record is from RNAcentral.